Mauremys reevesii (Reeves's turtle) is the source of this 1098-nucleotide long non-coding RNA. RefSeq lists it as uncharacterized. The record is from RefSeq and is a predicted model, not a curated record. Lineage: Eukaryota; Metazoa; Chordata; Testudines; Geoemydidae. The transcript is spliced from 2 exons.
AUUAGGUCCUGUUACUCCAGGGAGGAGGCUGUCCAGUCACAUCCUGGGACUACUACUGAUUGAGGUAGGAAGGGAGCCCUGAUCAACUGCUGUCAGGACCCUGGUAUUGACCCCAGAACUGCUAGGUCCUUAGGCAGCAUCGUUGGCUGCUGUGCCACAAUGUGCACUGAACCACUGCCCAGACCAAUAGCCAUUCUGCUGAAGGUCUACAGACCCACAGCAGCCAUGCCCCAGGCCCCUGAUUGGAUGGACAGGCAGUACGCUCACUGGAUACCCAGACUAUAUAAAAGCCACAACAGGAAGAGGAAGCUGUCAGAGAAACAAAGAAUUGGCUGCUGGUUGCUGCCUAGACUGCCCUGCCCUGCUGCCUUGCCUGACCCUGCCUUGCCCGACCUCGCCUCCCCAACCCACUGACCCAGCAUCAUGGAUUGGAUCUUCUGUCUAUUGAUCUCUGCGAGAACUCUGACCUGCCCUGGACACCAAUUGACCUCUCAGCCACCCAGCCACCUGCGCACACUUGACUACUGCUCUGGACUGCCACUGGGAUUUACAACAGCUGAGGAUGGUGAUUAUAGGCUGCAGCUGUCCUCUCCACCUCCUCUCAACCCUUCCCAAAUGUCCUGGUACUACAAGUACGGAAAGGGUUGGCCCUCCGAAUAAUAGCACAUCAGCAACAUUGUUCGUAUCAUGAGCAGAACAGAAACACAUUCAACACUGAAAGAUUUGUAUAGUGACAUACAAGCAGCACACAUUUAGUUCAUCAUCUGGUCCCCGGAUCUAAAGGACAUCUGCACUUUGCUUUCUCAUUUAAAUCCUUUUCCACAGAAGCAAUACAUAACACACCCAGUGAACAAAGCAAUGCCAGCUGAUUAACAUCUGUUGGUUUGAUUAAAAUCAUAUAGAUGGCAGAAUUUCAGGUUCCAGUAACUCUGGCUUGCACUUGCAACAAAGAAAGACAUUGUGUAACCUGCUGCUGUUGCUGUAGCAGCUCAUAUGCUUUAGAUUCACAUUUCACACCUGAAAAUGAGGAUCUAGGCUGCCUGGCCUACUUGUGUAAACUCCCUUUUAUGUUAAACCAAUAAAAGAUAUUAACAGACA